AGAGUUUGAUCCUGGCUCAGGAUGAACGCUAGCGGCAGGCUUAAUACAUGCAAGUCGAGGGGCAGCAUGACUGUAGCAAUACAGUUGAUGGCGACCGGCAAACGGGUGCGGAACACGUACGCAAUCUACCCAAAACUGAUGAAUAGCCCUCCGAAAGGAGGAUUAAUACAUCGUAACUUACUGAAGUGGCAUCACUUUAUUAAUAUAGCUCCGGCGGUUUUGGAUGAGCGUGCGCCUGAUUAGGUAGUUGGCGGGGUAACGGCCCACCAAGCCUGCGAUCAGUAACUGGUGUGAGAGCACGACCAGUCACACGGGCACUGAGACACGGGCCCGACUCCUACGGGAGGCAGCAGUAAGGAAUAUUGGUCAAUGGACGCAAGUCUGAACCAGCCAUGCCGCGUGAAGGAUGAAGGUCCUCUGGAUUGUAAACUUCUUUUAUGUGGGACGAAACCUCUUAUUCUUAAGAGACUGACGGUACCAUAGGAAUAAGCACCGGCUAACUCCGUGCCAGCAGCCGCGGUAAUACGGAGGGUGCAAGCGUUAUCCGGAUUCACUGGGUUUAAAGGGAGCGUAGGAGGGCAGGUAAGUCAGUGGUGAAAUCUUCGAGCUUAACUCGGAAACUGCCGCUGAUACUAUCUGUCUUGAAUACCGUGGAGAUGAGCGGAAUAUCAUGUAGCGGUGAAAUGCUUAGAUAUGACAUAGAACACCAAUUGCGAAGGCAGCUCGUUACACGAAUAUUGACUCUGAGGCUCGAAAGCGUGGGGAUCAAACAGGAUUAGAUACCCUAGUAGUCC
Molecule: ribosomal RNA, 794 nt
Filed under: uncultured bacterium
Lineage: Bacteria
Description: bacterial SSU rRNA
Rfam family: Bacterial small subunit ribosomal RNA
Source: RNAcentral